Molecule: ribosomal RNA, 406 nt
Filed under: uncultured bacterium
Lineage: Bacteria
Description: partial 16S ribosomal RNA
Rfam family: Bacterial small subunit ribosomal RNA
Source: RNAcentral
AUUGAACGCUGGCGGCAGGCCUAACACAUGCAAGUCGAACGAGUGGCGGACGGGUGAGUAAUGUCUGGGAAACUGCCCGCUGGAGGGGGAUAACUACUGGCAACGGUCUCUAAUACCGCAUACCAUCGGAUGUGCCCCGAUGGGAUUAGAUAGUAGGUGGGGUAAUGGCUCACCUAGGCGACGAUCCCUAGCUGGUCUGUGAGGAUGACCAGCCACACUGGAACUGAGACACGGUCCAGAUUCCGACGGGAGGCAGCAGUGGGGAAUAUUGCAAAAUGGGCGCAAGCCUGAUGCAGACAUGCCGCGUGUAUGAAGAAGGCCUUCGGGUUGUAAAGUACUUUCAGCGAGGAGGCGUUACUCGCAGAAGAAGCACCGGCUAACUCCGUGCCAGCAGCCGCGGUAAUAC